Molecule: long non-coding RNA, 206 nt
Filed under: Salvia miltiorrhiza (redroot sage)
Lineage: Eukaryota; Viridiplantae; Streptophyta; Magnoliopsida; Lamiales; Lamiaceae
Description: long non-coding RNA (SMIL_LNC001616)
Source: RNAcentral
AAUAACAUUAGGUUCUUAAACCACAUUAAUUUAUUCUAAACUUAAUAAUUAUCGUCAAAAUAUAUAAAAAAUUGUUUUUGUGUAAAAUGAUUAUAUGGAUAGGAAGUUAGUUGAAAAUAUGUUCACUGAGACAUAAAUAAAAUUAAAAAAUAUUUAAUUAUUUAUAUAGGUUAAAAGAUUAAAAAAAAUAAAAAAUCAAUUUCACC